GUGGUAAUGUCGGAGGAAAUACUAAAGAAAUACCCUGAACUCGCCAUCGAAGGCCUCCCUACUGUAAAGCAGCGAUUGGAUAUCUGUAAUAAUGCUGUGACACAGAUGGCUAUUGAAGCUUCACAAAUUUGCAUCAAGAACUGGGGCAGGCCUAUGUCAGAAAUAACUCACUUAGUCUACGUCUCCUCAAGUGAAGCUAGGCUACCGGGUGGCGAUCUCUACCUUGCAAGAGGUCUUGGACUCAAC
Molecule: unclassified non-coding RNA, 246 nt
Filed under: Hevea brasiliensis (rubber tree)
Lineage: Eukaryota; Viridiplantae; Streptophyta; Magnoliopsida; Malpighiales; Euphorbiaceae
Source: RNAcentral